GGAUGAGCUGUCACACUGACUGUGACAGGCCACACGGAAAAGAAUGCCUGGGUCAGCGGUGGCUUUUCGGAGUGAUCCGGGAGGUCACGCUUGUGGGGAUCUCCUUUUAGAAGCUUUGAGUUUCAUCUCGCGCUGGAUUCUCCUGCUUUAUUCCCUCCUGGGUCUCUCCAGCAGAUGCCUGUCUGCAGUCUUGGAGGUUUGAAGCCAGGAAGAAAAUCCAGGCCAGAGAUGAUCGUUUGGAGUCCCCAGCACACGGGUGGUCAGUGGAUUUCUGGGAGAGACGAGAAGAAGGCCUCGGGGCCACACAAUGUUUAGGGCGGGGAGGACGAGGAGACAGUCACCAAGAAGGCGGAGCUGGAGUCACUGCCCAGCGGGAGAAACCGGUCUCAGACACGGACGGUUGUCCGCAGUGACGAGGACGGCAGGCGUCCGGGCAGCUGGCACCGCGUCCGCCUUUUCCUCCUCUUCCCCGCGGUUUGUCCCACGAUGCGCGGGGCUGCAUGACUGGGAUGUUGGCUGAGGGGCAUCCUCGGGGCAGUGG
This is a long non-coding RNA of Leopardus geoffroyi (Geoffroy's cat), 541 nucleotides long. RefSeq lists it as uncharacterized. NCBI's taxonomy places the organism in Eukaryota, Metazoa, Chordata, Mammalia, Carnivora, Felidae. The record is from RefSeq and is a predicted model, not a curated record. The transcript has 3 exons.